GGGCCGCACGCGCGCUACACUGACGGAGCCAGCGAGUCUACCUUGGCCGAGAGGCCCGGGAAAUCUUGUGAAACUCCGUCGUGCUGGGGAUAGAGCAUUGCAAUUUUUGCUCUUCAACGAGGAAUUCCUAGUAAGCGCAAGUCAUCAGCUUGCGUUGAUUACGUCCC
Molecule: ribosomal RNA, 167 nt
Filed under: Kodamaea ohmeri
Lineage: Eukaryota; Fungi; Ascomycota; Pichiomycetes; Serinales; Debaryomycetaceae
Description: partial 18S rRNA
Rfam family: Eukaryotic small subunit ribosomal RNA
Source: RNAcentral